This 497-nucleotide ribosomal RNA is filed under the name uncultured bacterium. RNAcentral describes it as "partial 16S ribosomal RNA". It matches the Rfam family "Bacterial small subunit ribosomal RNA", at positions 28 to 507 of the family's 1533-position model. The record is from RNAcentral.
GACGAACGCUGGCGGCGUGCCUAAUACAUGCAAGUUGAGCGAUGAAGAUUGGUGCUUGCACCAAUUUGCAGAGCAGCGAACGGGUGAGUAACGCGUGGGGAAUCUGCCUUUGAGCGGGGGACAACAUUUGGAAACGAAUGCUAAUACCGCAUAACAACUUUAAACAUAAGUUUUAAGUUUGAAAGAUGCAAUUGCAUCACUCAAAGAUGAUCCCGCGUUGUAUUAGCUAGUUGGUGAGGUAAAGGCUCACCAAGGCGAUGAUACAUAGCCGACCUGAGAGGGUGAUCGGCCACAUUGGGACGGAGACACGGCCCAAUCGCCUACGGGAGGCAGCAGUAGGGAAUCGUCGGCAAUGGACGAAAGUCUGACCGAGCAACGCCGCGGGAGUGAAGAAGGUUGUCGGAUCGUAAAACUCUGUUGGUAGGGAAGAACGUUGGUGAGAGUGGAAAGCUCAUCAAGUGACGGUAACUACUCAGAAAGGAACGGCUAACUACGUG